Molecule: transfer RNA, 77 nt
Filed under: Helicobacter fennelliae
Lineage: Bacteria; Pseudomonadati; Campylobacterota; Epsilonproteobacteria; Campylobacterales; Helicobacteraceae
Description: tRNA-His(gtg)
Rfam family: tRNA
About the family: Transfer RNA (tRNA) molecules are approximately 80 nucleotides in length.
Source: RNAcentral
GUGGGUGUAGCUCAGUUGGUUAGAGCAUCAGUUUGUGGCACUGAGGGUCGUGGGUUCGAGCCCCAUCUCCCACCCCA